CCUGGUGAAGAGUGUUGACGGGUGGAUGCGCAGAUGACAAAGAGAUUUUUCUCUCUUUUCUUCUGAGCCGCCUCUGAGAAGCCUCUGUACGUACACGAUGUGGCUGAUCUGGGAUAAUCGUGCUGUGCACAAUGUUUAAGGAGAACAUUGCCAUGAAAUGGUGGGCUAAGGAAUAGCCUAAAAAACCUAAAAGGCUCGGGAAAAGCCAAAGAGAACAGCAAUGGGCUCUGGGAAGCCCCAGUGACGCUACAGAAAACAGCGUGGCUUUUAGGCACCUCCUCAGAGCAGCAGCAAUGCCUUGCUCCAGCCUGUGGGACAAUGGAGACUCUUAAUUACCACCUUGAAUUACCACAAGUGUUGCAAAAGCAGAAGGGACUAGGGAGCACGCAGAGCAGGUUGUGGACUAUAUGUCAAGUUUAAACAAGCAACAAGCCCCUCUGCAAAUAGGAACAGGUUUAGCCCUAAGUACUAGAUGAAGGUAGCUGUGAGUAACGUGAAGCGAAGCGGUUACGUCAAUCACCCCGAAAGCCUCGGAGAAGUGGUCCAAACACCUGAUACCCUCGCGGCCUCGGCAGUCUUUUUGGUUUGUUUGGCAGGGUAGUCCACCGAAGGGGGACAUCUCGAAGAGAAGCAGCGAGACCUGGGGAUCCGGUUGUUCGUUUUGGUCGUCGCCUGUGAGGCCAGCAUCCGAGCGUAAGAGGAAUCUAGGCUCGAAAAGAGAUGGCACCAAGGACAGCAAAUGCUGACAAAGAGAAGAGACGGACAAGCAUUUUCUUGUGAUUAAUACCGAAGGGACGGGAUGAAACAAGGAAGCCAAAAUGCAGUGGACCCUCGAUAUCACCAGGAACUGCUACAGGAGGCGGCGUUCUGGCACGGGUAACUAAGGGCGAUGGAUUUUACUCUGCCUCCAUCAACAGGCGCUGGCUGGCAAAGUCGUCGUGUCCCAGUGGAGACUCUUAGGCAGGACGGGAGGAGUUCGGAUCCGCAGCCUGCCAGAAGAGCGUCGCCUGGGAGGGGUCGCUAGCCUUGAGCUACAGGCACUGGUGCUGAAGCCCAGUCGGGCAGUCGAAGGAGCCUCGUCGCAGCUGGGAGCUCUGCGGAGAUGUGCGGCCGGCUGUGGAGGAUGAGCUCUGACUUGCGGCGUGGACACGGCUAAGUCCUGGGCUGCAUCGUACGCGAGUGGGGCUGGGAGGUGCGAGGCGUUCGUCCCCUAGCCGUGGUCACUGGCGCCGCUGGCUGUGGCCGUUUGCCCACGGAGCUGAGAGGACCAAAAAUACUAAUUGCCUGACCCAGAGAUGAAUUAGUGCUUGCAGGCUUUCAGGUAGGUUCAGUGCAAGUGCAGCUUAGUGCAGUCCCGUGGAGUGACGCUUGCACAUGCUCACAUUUGAAUGGUGGCUAAAACCAAGCCUCUAAACAGCAACUGUAACGCAGUUCUGGUGCUUGUCUUCCUGUUCUGCUGUACUUCUAAAGGAAGGGAAAACUUCCUAAGCUGCGGGCAAAACUCCUUGGCUUCUCUUGACUGUUUCCAUGCUCUGGAAACAGCUUUGGGUGCUUUGGUGCUUGUUGCUUAAAGCUGAGGGUUUGGAAUUUUUCACUUAAGGUUGAUUGUUUAGCUUGCUGCUGAGGGUCUCUCACCCAGGAGUUACGGGUUAUUCCUUUCUUUAGUGGGGCUCACUCUUUAUCAGUCAGGGUUUACAGUUUGCUCAUGUAGCAAUCGGGGCGCAGAAUUUAAAAUCCAACCCCAUCCCUUGUCCCGAUCCAAUAUCGGGGGGGUUUCAUUACGAUCCCAAGGACGAGAUUAAGACGCUAAAACCGGUCAAAUAUCGUACAACCGUUUAACAUUAUUUUCCACAAAGUGGGGAGAAAAGGUGGGGAAAGGCGAAGGAGAGGCAAAGGGAAGAGGGGAACAAGGGUAAGGGGAAAAGAUAGAGAAAGCUGGAAAAGGAGAGAAAGAGCUGGCUACCACCAGUCCGAGUCCAGUGAUGUUCUGCUGACUCCGUUCGAAUUACAGCUCAGGCUGGGUGCCUCCGACGAGGGACCCGGAACAAAGAAAUCCCUGGGCAAUGAUACUUUCCAAUCUAAGCUCUCCACCCUUCACACAGUAGUUUGGACCAAUAGUAAUAUUUAGGUCUGGGGUCUCCUGCUCCCUAUUGGGUCCCUCGGUAGGUUGUUUACUGUUGCGGUUUCUGCUGGUGGAUGUGUCUUCAUUCUUCGGGUCCUGCCCUUGUCUCUCAAGGCCCUGACAAAUCAGUACUGCCCCAGCAGUGAUAGUAGGUGUUAUCUCCCAAGGUCCAGACAAAGGGAAUAUGAUCUGGACCCCGAGAUAGUCCAGACCCCCCCCUAAUCAGCACUGUUUCAGCAGCGAGAGGAGCCCCGUCAUCCAACUAUGAUGGCAGUUCUUUGACCAUUUGCUUGUCCAGCCACUCAGACCAUAGAGGCCUCGUUUGUGUGCAAGUAUACUGUGGGAGAAAGUGUCAAAAGCCUUCUGAAAGUUGAGGUAACUGACAUUCACUGCUCUCUGUUCGUCCAUAAAUAGAGUUCUUUUAACAUAGAAAGCCAUCACGUUGGUGAGGCAUGAUUUCCCCUCAGGAAAUCUGUGCUGACUCUUCCCAGGCACCUCAUUCU
Long non-coding RNA from Dromaius novaehollandiae (emu), 2625 nucleotides. RefSeq lists it as uncharacterized. Lineage: Eukaryota; Metazoa; Chordata; Aves; Casuariiformes; Dromaiidae. The transcript is spliced from 4 exons. The record is from RefSeq and is a predicted model, not a curated record.